RNAcentral lists this ribosomal RNA (440 nucleotides) under uncultured bacterium. Its description in RNAcentral is "partial 16S ribosomal RNA". It matches the Rfam family "Bacterial small subunit ribosomal RNA", at positions 338 to 795 of the family's 1533-position model. The record is from RNAcentral.
CCUACGGGUGACAGCAGUGGGGGAUAUUGCACAAUGGGGGAAACCCUGAUGCAGCGACGCCGCGUGUGGGAAGACGGUCCUCUGGAUUGUAAACCACUGUCCCCAGGGACGAAGAUGACGUUACCUGGGGAGGCCGCUCCGGCUAACUACGUGCCAGCAGCCGCGGUAAUCCGUAGGGAGCGAGCGUUGUCCGGAAUUACUGGGUGUAAAGGGAGCGUAGGGGGGGAGGCAAGUUGGUUGUAAAAACUACCGGCUCAACUGGGAGUCGCACUCAAAACUGCAGCUCUUGAGUGAAGUAGAGGCAGGUGGAAUUCCUAGUGUAGCGGUGAAAUGCGUAGAGAUUAGGAGGAACACCAGUGGCGAAGGCGGCCUGCUGGGCUUUGACUGACGCUGAGGCUCGAAAGUGUGGGGAGCAAACAGGAUUAGAUACCCUAGUAGUC